RNAcentral lists this ribosomal RNA (255 nucleotides) under uncultured bacterium. RNAcentral describes it as "partial 16S ribosomal RNA". It matches the Rfam family "Bacterial small subunit ribosomal RNA", at positions 524 to 776 of the family's 1533-position model. The record is from RNAcentral.
UACGUAGGGUCCAAGCGUUAUCCGGAAUCACUGGGCGUAAAGCGUACGUAGGCGGAUGUUCACGUGUAAUGCGAAAUCUUGUGGCUCAACCAUAUAGACUGUAUUACAUACGGGACGUCUAGAGGACGGCAGAGGCAAGUGGAAUUAGUAGUGUAGCAGUGAAAUGCGUAGAGAUUACUAGGAAUACCAAUGGCGAAGGCAGCUUGCUGGGCCGUAUCUGACGCUGAGGUACGAAAGCGUGGGGGAGCGAACAGG